AGCGAACGCUGGCGGCAGGCUUAACACAUGCAAGUCGAGCGGGCACUUUCGGGUGUCAGCGGCGGACGGGUGAGUAACGCGUGGGAACGUGCCCUCUGGUUCGGAAUAACUCAGGGAAACUUGAGCUAAUACCGGAUACGCCCUUUUGGGGAAAGGCUUGCUGCCGGAGGAUCGGCCCGCGUCUGAUUAGCUAGUUGGUGGGGUAACGGCUCACCAAGGCGACGAUCAGUAGCUGGUCUGAGAGGAUGAUCAGCCACACUGGGACUGAGACACGGCCCAGACUCCUACGGGAGGCAGCAGUGGGGAAUAUUGGCCAAUGGGCGCAAGCCUGAUCCAGCCAUGCCGCGUGAGUGAUGAAGGCCUUAGGGUUGUAAAGCUCUUUUAUCCGGGACGAUAAUGACGGUACCGGAGGAAUAAGCCCCGGCUAACUUCGUG
RNAcentral lists this ribosomal RNA (435 nucleotides) under uncultured bacterium. Its description in RNAcentral is "partial 16S ribosomal RNA". It matches the Rfam family "Bacterial small subunit ribosomal RNA", at positions 29 to 507 of the family's 1533-position model. The record is from RNAcentral.